This 75-nucleotide antisense RNA is filed under the name Kitasatospora viridis. RNAcentral's name for it is "ASpks TB sRNA". It matches the Rfam family "ASpks TB sRNA". Lineage: Bacteria; Bacillati; Actinomycetota; Actinomycetes; Kitasatosporales; Streptomycetaceae. The record is from Rfam by way of RNAcentral.
CUUCACCGACCCGAGCAGCAGGGGCCGACCCUCCGGCCGGUUCUGACCGUAGGUGGCCAGCAGCGCUUGGGCCUC